GCUAGGAAGAGGUAGAAAGAGAGAGUUCAAGAGCAAUAGGAAUGGGAACAUGGAGGAAAGCCCUCCUUGUUUGGCAUGAAUCCUUUCCUGAUGCCUCCCAUUCCUACCGUUCUUGUGCACUCCUUCCUCUUCCUCUUGGCU
This 141-nucleotide microRNA precursor is filed under the name Triticum aestivum (bread wheat). RNAcentral's name for it is "MIR2118 microRNA precursor family". It matches the Rfam family "MIR2118 microRNA precursor family". RNAcentral also lists the same sequence under 1 other name. Lineage: Eukaryota; Viridiplantae; Streptophyta; Magnoliopsida; Poales; Poaceae. The record is from Rfam by way of RNAcentral.